UGGUGCCAAUUUCGGUUAUGAAUUUCCCAGUGCUGCACAAGACCAACUUUACUACAAUCAACACCAAGUUGCUCCAUUGCCUUCCCAAUAUCAGACUAUGACACCAGCUGCAGCUGUGGCCGCAUUAGCAAAUGCUUCAAAACAGCUGCCUGUAGAUGGUAUCAAACAGCAGAUAAUAAGCUCACAGCCAUUAUAAAGUGACAAUAGCAAAUUGAAUAAACAAAUUGCUCUUCAUAUCCUCCGAUAUUCAUGCAUAUAGGAAGAUCUUAUGUUGCCAUAUAUAUAUAUGUACAAGAUAAUGGACUUGUUUAAUGUUCUCUUGUCUUUCUUGUUAUUUUCUUUUGCCAGUGAGAAUAAAAAGUGGUAUGACAUGUAACCAUGAGAAUUUGGAUAACUAACUAGUCCUGUUCAAGCAUUUCUUUCUAUUAAAUUCUCAUUUAUGAAAGUGAACACUAGAUUGAUACAUGAUAAUUGUUCCCCUAUGCUAAAGUUGAAGAAAAUUGAGAGCAGCUGGACCAUUAUCUUAAAGAAGUUAUUAUGUAGUCAUAGAUUUUUUAUAAAUUUUGAUCGGGAAAGAAAUCAUAGUUCAGUCAUAUAGAGAGUAGACCCAAGUCCUCCGAUGUUCCAUCUGCAUUUUUUCAUCAAAGGGAAGCUAUCGAAAUGCAACAUCAGAAGAAGCUGUUCAGAUCUAGUCAACUGAUUAGCUCUAUGUUUUAGUGUUUCAGUAUUAAUCUCCAAAUACUUUAUUAAAAUCACUGAUCUCAUAACUUUUGGUGCAUUAAAGAAACUUAUAUAAAGAGCAUUAACUAUUCUCAUCCACCAGCACAUGUGAAUAAUGCAGUAACACAUGGAUUCCUGAUACGCAGUAACAUGAACAGAGUGGGUGUUUUGCAGACUGGUGAUAAACUAUUUUUCAAUGUUCUUACCUAAACUAAAUCUGCCAAAUCUAACACAAUUCAAGACUUCAAUUUUUUACUGAUAAAAAAGUUAAAUAGAAAACCAAGAAAAACUAUCAAACAAUCAAUAACAAGCAAGAAAAUUUAGAGCUUUCAUGUUGUCCUCUCUUACAGAUCUAACUAAAAUCAAAGUUUUUUUCUCUCGUAUGCACCCAUAUAUACCUAUAUAUAUAUGUUACAUACAGAGAUAGAAAACAAAAAUUGAAUCAUACAGAGACAGAAAACAAAAAUUGAAUCUGGGUCACCAGUAGAAAUCCAUUGUGAAAAGUAGAAGCUUUAGUAAUGUUCUUGAGUCUGUUUUUGUCAAUGAAUUCACAUAUAAAAGCUCCAGAUGAGAAAACUAAACUUUAGCAGCCGAAUAAAUUGCUCUUUUUUAAAUUGUACAGUAGAAAUGUGUAAAAGUCGGAUGCUUUAAAAAUUAUUAAACUCCAUAGGAGCCGCCCACGAGUUUCGUUCACAGUAUAAAUUGAAUAUAUUCAACAAGGUUUUUUAACCCAUAAAUAAACACUGCAGAUGAGCAGAUGUAAUCAUGGACGUACAGCAAAUUCAAUCUGCCAUUGAUACUAAUUAGAGCUGAAAAAAGGCACAACAGAUGAAUUUCACUUACCUACUGUUCUCUCACCUCCAGCUGUAAUGGCCGCCACCUUUAUCUUCUCUCUCCCUCCAAACCCUACGAAUUUACCAUCCGACCCCUCUUCUUCCUCCUCUCUACUCCCCUUUUCUGCUUAUAGAUAUGGGUAUAUUUAUAGGGUGAAACCGGUUUCCG
This 1722-nucleotide long non-coding RNA is filed under the name Carica papaya (papaya). RNAcentral's name for it is "long non-coding RNA (CPAP_LNC012662)". The record is from RNAcentral. Lineage: Eukaryota; Viridiplantae; Streptophyta; Magnoliopsida; Brassicales; Caricaceae.